RNAcentral lists this ribosomal RNA (497 nucleotides) under uncultured bacterium. RNAcentral describes it as "partial 16S ribosomal RNA". It matches the Rfam family "Bacterial small subunit ribosomal RNA", at positions 28 to 507 of the family's 1533-position model. The record is from RNAcentral.
GACGAACGCUGGCGGCGUGCCUAAUACAUGCCAGUUGAGCGAUGAAGCUUGGUGCUUGCUCCACUUUGAAGAGCAGCGAACGGGUGAGUAACGCGUGGGGAAUCUGCCUUUGAGCGGGGGACAACUUUUGGAAACGAAUGCUAAUACCGCAUAACAUCUUUAAACAUAAGUUUUAAGUUUGAAAGAUGCAAUUGCAUCACUUAAAGUUGAUCUCGCCUUGGAAUUGCUAGUUGGUUAAGUAAACGCUCACCCAGGCCAUGAUACAUAGCCGACCUGAGAGGGGGAUCGGGCACAUUGGGAAUGAAACAAGGCCCAAAAUCCUAAGGGAGGGAACAGGAGGGAAACUUUGGGAAAGGAGGAAAGUCUGGCCGAGGAACGGCGGGGGGGGGAAGAAGGUUUUCGGAACGUAAAACUCUGUUGGUAGAGAAGAACGUUAGUGGGAGUGAAAAGCGCAUCAAGUGACGGUAACUACCCAGAAAGGGACGGCUAACUACGUG